This 500-nucleotide ribosomal RNA is filed under the name uncultured bacterium. RNAcentral describes it as "partial 16S ribosomal RNA". It matches the Rfam family "Bacterial small subunit ribosomal RNA", at positions 30 to 523 of the family's 1533-position model. The record is from RNAcentral.
AUUGAACGCUGGCGGCAUGCCUUACACAUGCAAGUCGAACGGCAGCACGGGAGCAAUCCUGGUGGCGAGUGGCGAACGGGUGAGUAAUGUAUCGGAACGUGCCCAGUCGUGGGGGAUAACGUAGCGAAAGCUACGCUAAUACCGCAUACGAUCUAUGGAUGAAAGCGGGGGAUCGCAAGACCUCGCGCGAUUGGAGCGGCCGAUAUCAGAUUAGGUAGUUGGUGGGGUAAAGGCCAACCAAGCCUGCGAUCUGUAGCUGGUCGGGGAGGACGACCAGCCACACUGGAACUGAGACACGGUCCAGACUCCUACGGGAGGCAGCAGUGGGGAAUUUUGGACAAUGGGCGCAAGCCUGAUCCAGCAAUGCCGCGUGCAGGAUGAAGGCCUUCGGGUUGUAAACUGCUUUUGUACGGAACGAAACGGCUUUUUCUAAUACAGAGAGCUAAUGACGGUACCGUAAGAAUAAGCACCGGCUAACUACGUGCCAGCCGCCGCCGUAA